CUGGUUAGUUGCUCUUCUUGGCAUGGAACUGGCACGCUUCACAGGUCCUGACUAAUUGCUCGGCAUCGGCUAGUGUAACAUCCCAAAAUUUCAAACCUUUACAUGAGCAUUGCAUUCAUAAACAUCAUGCCACAAUUGCAUAUUUGAAUUCAAAUUUUGAAUCUCAAAAGGCUUUGGAAAGAUUCUUUAUUUCAUUUUAAACCCUAGGGUUUACACCCAUUUGAGCUUUGGAUCUUCAAACCAUUAAAGUUUAUAUAUAAAAGGGGUUUAGUGCACAUAUGAGCUAUCCCAUAAUUUUUGGAUAAUUGUUUGGAGUUGAAAAAAAGUAUUUUAUUUAAACAGAUAUAUGGCCCUAAAGGCAUUUACAGAGCAAAUGUAUUUUUACAUAUUUUAUUUUGAAGAGAAACUACUUCUAAAAGUUGUAUCUUGGUAGAACAUGAUUUUACAAAUUUUCUGGAAUUUGUUUGGACCAAUUUGGAGUUCAAACACAAAAGAUAUCAAAGAAAUGGGAAAACAGAAAAAGAAAAGGCCUAAAAGAAAAAAAAAAGGUAAACCGGACCGGCCCGGCCAAAAUGGGCCGAACCGGCCCAGUCCAACCGCGCCCGACCGGCCCAGACCGCUCGGUCCGCGCGCGCGCGCCCGCAGUCGCUGACAGGUGGGGUCCACCUGUGAGCUGCGUCUUCCCCGAAGGAAAGCGCCGCCGGUCACGCGCGCGAAUUCCGGCCGCCGUCCCCGCGCGCCCGCCGCCGCAAUCCGCUCCUCCGGCCUUCCUUUUUCACGCCCGAGCUCGUCUAUAUAACCCCC
Molecule: long non-coding RNA, 804 nt
Filed under: Brachypodium distachyon (stiff brome)
Lineage: Eukaryota; Viridiplantae; Streptophyta; Magnoliopsida; Poales; Poaceae
Description: long non-coding RNA (BDIS_LNC001661)
Source: RNAcentral